Anoplopoma fimbria (sablefish) is the source of this 130-nucleotide small nucleolar RNA. RefSeq annotates it as small nucleolar RNA SNORA3/SNORA45 family. Lineage: Eukaryota; Metazoa; Chordata; Actinopteri; Perciformes; Anoplopomatidae. The transcript has a single exon. The record is from RefSeq and is a predicted model, not a curated record.
UUAGAGACUAGAGUCUCACCCUGACACUACUCAUUGUCUUGGUGUGCUAGAGUACUCUUAGAUUACAUACUGGUCCUAUUCACCGACUGGCUCUUUUGUAAGCCAGUCACCCACAUGGUCAGUUACAAAC